Molecule: ribosomal RNA, 491 nt
Filed under: uncultured bacterium
Lineage: Bacteria
Description: partial 16S ribosomal RNA
Rfam family: Bacterial small subunit ribosomal RNA
Source: RNAcentral
AGUGAACGCUGGCGGUAGGCCUAACACAUGCAAGUCGAACGGCAGCACAGUAAGAGCUUGCUCUUACGGGUGGCGAGUGGCGGACGGGUGAGGAAUACAUCGGAAUCUACUUUUUCGUGGGGGAUAACGUAGGGAAACUUACGCUAAUACCGCAUCCGACCUACGGGUGAAAGCAGGGGAUCUUCGGACCUUGCGCGAUUGAAUGAGCCGAUGUCGGAUUAGCUAGUUGGCGGGGUAAAGGCCCACCAAGGCGACGAUCCGUAGCUGGGCUGAGAGGAUGAUCAGCGACACUGGAACUGAGACACGGUCCAGACUCCUACAGGAGGCAGCAGUGGGGAAUAUUGGACAAUGGGCGCAAGCCUGAUCCAGCCAUACCGCGUGGGUGAAGAAGGCCUGCGGGUUGUAAAGCCCUUUUGUUGGGAAAGAAAAGCAGCAGGUUAAUACCCCGCUGUUCGGACGGUACCCAAAGAAUAAGCACCGGCUAACUUCGU